GCACCCCCACCCGCGGGGCUGAGGUCCGUCGGGCUCUGAGCGGAGGAAUCCAGCAAGAGAUUAAGAGGGCCUUCAAAAAUCACCUGAAAGGAGAAAGAAAAUUAAAGAAAAAAGCACCAUUUAGGAAUAAAGGUAUUUCUAUCCUACAUAGAUUUUUGUGCCCUUUUUUUGGAGGA
RNAcentral lists this long non-coding RNA (176 nucleotides) under Catharus ustulatus (Swainson's thrush). Its description in RNAcentral is "lncRNA (ENSCUSG00005002694.1)". Lineage: Eukaryota; Metazoa; Chordata; Aves; Passeriformes; Turdidae. The record is from RNAcentral.